RNAcentral lists this ribosomal RNA (498 nucleotides) under uncultured bacterium. Its description in RNAcentral is "partial 16S ribosomal RNA". It matches the Rfam family "Bacterial small subunit ribosomal RNA", at positions 28 to 507 of the family's 1533-position model. The record is from RNAcentral.
GACAAACGCUGGCGGCGUGCCUAAUACAUGCAAGUCGAACGAGAGCGCCCGGUGCUUGCACUGGUCAAUCUAGUGGCGAACGGGUGAGUAACACGUGGGUAACCUGCCCAUCAGAGGGGGAUAACAUCCGGAAACGGAUGCUAAAACCGCAUAGGUCUUCGAACCGCAUGGUUUGAAGAGGAAAAGAGGCGCAAGCUUCUGCUGAUGGAUGGACCCGCGGUGCAUUAGCUAGUUGGUGAGGUAACGGCUCACCAAGGCCGUGAUGCAUAGCCGACCUGAGAGGGUGAUCGGCCACAUUGGGACUGAGACACGGCCCAAACUCCUACGGGAGGCAGCAGUAGGGAAUCUUCCGCAAUGGACGCAAGUCUGACGGAGCAACGCCGCGUGAGUGAAGAAGGUUUUCGGAUCGUAAAACUCUGUUGUUAGAGAAGAACAAGUGCUAGAGUAACUGUUAGCGCCUUGACGGUAUCUAACCAGAAAGCCACGGCUAACUACGUG